CAAAUUAUUACUAUUAGAAGUUUUAUUAUUUACAUUAAUAAAUUGGAUGUGCAAUUCAUCUUAAUUUGA
RNAcentral lists this transfer RNA (69 nucleotides) under Enithares tibialis. Its description in RNAcentral is "tRNA-Val". The record is from RNAcentral. Lineage: Eukaryota; Metazoa; Arthropoda; Insecta; Hemiptera; Notonectidae.